AUUGAACGCUGGCGGCAGGCUUAACACAUGCAAGUCGAGCGAGCGGCGGACGGGUGAGUAAUGUCUGGGAAACUGCCGGAUGGAGGGGGAUCACUACUGGAAACGGUGGCUAAUACCGCAUACCAUCAGAUGUGCCCUGAUGGGAUUAGCUAGUAGGUGGGGUAAUGGCGCACCUAGGCGACGAUCCCUAGCUGGUCUGAGAGGAGGACCAGCCACGUUGGAACUGAGAAACGGUCCAGACUCCUACGGGAGGCAGCAGUGGGGAAUAUGGCACAAUGGGCGCAAGCCUGAUGCAGCCAUGGCGAGUGUGUGAAGAAGGCCUUCGGGUUGGAAAGCACUGUCAGAGAGGAGGGGUUACUAGCAGAAGAAGCACCGGCCAACUCCGUGCCAGCAGCCGCGGUAAUUC
This 406-nucleotide ribosomal RNA is filed under the name uncultured bacterium. RNAcentral's name for it is "partial 16S ribosomal RNA". It matches the Rfam family "Bacterial small subunit ribosomal RNA", at positions 29 to 526 of the family's 1533-position model. The record is from RNAcentral.